Molecule: ribosomal RNA, 694 nt
Filed under: uncultured bacterium
Lineage: Bacteria
Description: bacterial SSU rRNA
Rfam family: Bacterial small subunit ribosomal RNA
Source: RNAcentral
AACGCUAGCUACAGGCUUAACACAUGCAAGUCGAGGGGCAGCAUGGUCUUAGCUUGCUAAGGCCGAUGGCGACCGGCGCACGGGUGAGUAACACGUAUCCAACCUGCCGUCUACUCUUGGACAGCCUUCUGAAAGGAAGAUUAAUACAAGAUGGCAUCAUGAGUUCACAUGUUCACAUGAUUAAAGGUAUUCCGGUAGACGAUGGGGAUGCGUUCCAUUAGAUAGUAGGCGGGGUAACGGCCCACCUAGUCUUCGAUGGAUAGGGGUUCUGAGAGGAAGGUCCCCCACAUUGGAACUGAGACACGGUCCAAACUCCUACGGGAGGCAGCAGUGAGGAAUAUUGGUCAAUGGACGAGAGUCUGAACCAGCCAAGUAGCGUGAAGGAUGACUGCCCUAUGGGUUGUAAACUUCUUUUAUAAGGGAAUAAAGUGAGGGACGUGUCCCUUUUUGUAUGUACCUUAUGAAUAAGGAUCGGCUAACUCCGUGCCAGCAGCCGCGGUAAUACGGAGGAUCCAAGCGUUAUCCGGAUUUAUUGGGUUUAAAGGGAGCGUAGGUUGACGUAUAAGUCAGCUGUGAAAGUUUACGGCUCAACCGUGAAAUUGCAGUUGAUACUGUAUGUCUUGAGUGUACAAGAGGUGGGCGGAAUUCGUGGUGUAGCGGUGAAAUGCUUAGAUAUCACGAAGAACUCCGAUUG